AGAAGGAAGCACUGGAAAGAUGGAAAGAAGAUGAGAGAAGGAAAUUUAAUCAGGAAAUUGCAGAUCUGAGACAGCUGUUUCUCCAGGAGUAUAAAGACAUGGCAAGCAAGAGCUCAUCUAUUGAGGCUAAACUGCUGGUGUUACAGAACAAAGAAAUGGCUGGAUUCAACAAUGCACGUUUACAACAAGACAGUGACCCUGAGAAAGAAAUCAGAGAAAACAGAGAGAGAGAGCUGAGAGAGAGAAUGGCCAUAAAGAAAAGUGAAUGGAAGAGGAAAUUUCAGGAAGCACAGAAAAGACAUCUGCAGGAAAACGAAGAG
Long non-coding RNA from Danio aesculapii, 320 nucleotides. RefSeq lists it as uncharacterized. The record is from RefSeq and is a predicted model, not a curated record. The transcript has 3 exons. Lineage: Eukaryota; Metazoa; Chordata; Actinopteri; Cypriniformes; Danionidae.